Molecule: long non-coding RNA, 298 nt
Filed under: Mytilus galloprovincialis (Mediterranean mussel)
Lineage: Eukaryota; Metazoa; Mollusca; Bivalvia; Mytilida; Mytilidae
Source: RNAcentral
UGGUACUUGUGAAUAUAUCAGGUAUGUCCAGGAAGAUAAAAAUUAUCAACAACACAUACUAAAUUGUUGGCUCAUAGGUUGCGACGAGCAUAUUUUACUGCUUUAUUAAACACUUUUAUCUUAUUUUGAUUAUCUAUUUAUUAUCUACAUAAAAAGGUGUCUUUUUAAAAUAAUAUUCAAAGACACUGAUCGAUUGACAGUAUCAUCAGGUCUUUGGAUUAUUUGGGUCUUGUGCUGGUGGUUCAUAAUUACGUACAACUUCAACGAUGGUGUGAAUAAAAUUGAUGGAUUGGUUACU